Molecule: ribosomal RNA, 253 nt
Filed under: uncultured bacterium
Lineage: Bacteria
Description: partial 16S ribosomal RNA
Rfam family: Bacterial small subunit ribosomal RNA
Source: RNAcentral
UACAGAGGUCCCAAGCGUUGUUCGGAUUCACUGGGCGUAAAGGGUGCGUAGGCGGUUUGGCAAGUCUUGUGUGAAAUCUUUGGGCUCAACCCAAAGUCUGCACAAGAAACUGCCGGGCUUGAGUAUGGGAGAGGUGAGUGGAAUUUCCGGUGUAGCGGUGAAAUGCGUAGAUAUCGGAAGGAACACCUGUGGCGAAAGCGGCUCACUGGACCAUUACUGACGCUGAGGCACGAAAGCUAGGGGAGCAAACAGG